Molecule: long non-coding RNA, 620 nt
Organism: Schistocerca serialis cubense
Lineage: Eukaryota; Metazoa; Arthropoda; Insecta; Orthoptera; Acrididae
Exons: 3
Source: RefSeq, a predicted model, not a curated record
UUUCCGGCAAGAUGAUUACGUAGUGAGCCCUGGAACGUGGAAGAAACGUCUCAGACACGAAGCAGUGCCAUCAAUUUUUGACUUUCCGACACAUUUGAUGCCACCAAAUAAACAGCCACGACGACAUGUUAGGAUUUUGAGUGACAACGAUGCUUCUCCAUUUGAGCGUUCUGUCCUGGAAUCCGUGCUUGAUUUGCCCUCUGCAGAAGCUACUGAUUGCGUGGAGAAUUUUGUCAAUGAGAAUUCUUCCGUGGAAAGCAUGUCCCAUUUAUCCAAUGCAGAAGCUGCGAAUUGUGUCGAAAUCAGUGCAGUUGGUUCUCAAGUAAUUGAUUGUGGUAUACAGUCGAAAGUAGAAAUGGAAGACAAGGCGACCAAAACUUGCAAUUUUUUCUCAGACAUUGUGCACAAAUUAAAACGUUAACUGAAAUGUGAAGUGUGUCCGUGAAAAACUUCGAAGAAGAGAGAAGAAAGUGUUUUCCAUGGAUGACAUCAUAAGUUCAUUGAAGGAGAAGGGGCAUCUUCCUGAGAAGUUACAUAACUUCUUCAAUCAUCAGAAAGGAACACAAGUGGAAUUAGUGUGCAAUUUAGUGGACAACUCUCUCUCGUCAAAGGGUAAUAGA